This 343-nucleotide ribosomal RNA is filed under the name uncultured soil bacterium. RNAcentral's name for it is "bacterial SSU rRNA". It matches the Rfam family "Bacterial small subunit ribosomal RNA", at positions 26 to 373 of the family's 1533-position model. The record is from RNAcentral.
AGAUUGAACGCUGGCGGCAGGCCUAACACAUGCAAGUCGAGCGGUAGAGAGGUGCUUGCAUCUCUUGAGAGCGGCGGACGGGUGAGUAAUGCCUAGGAAUCUGCCUAGUGGUGGGGGAUAACGUUCGGAAACGGACGCUAAUACCGCAUACGUCCUACGGGAGAAAGCGGGGGACCUUCGGGCCUCGCGCCAUUAGAUGAGCCUAGGUCGGAUUAGCUAGUUGGUGAGGUAAUGGCUCACCAAGGCGACGAUCCGUAACUGGUCUGAGAGGAUGAUCAGUCACACUGGAACUGAGACACGGUCCAGACUCCUACGGGAGCAGCAGUGGGGAAUAUGGACAAGU